GGGGGGCCUUUCCCGAGUGGCGGCUCCCCGCCCCUGUGAACGUACCUUAUGUUGCCUCGGCGGAUCAGCCCGCGCCCCGUAAAAAGGGACGGCCCGCCGCAGGAACCCUAAACUCUGUUUUUAGUGGAACUUCUGAGUAUAAAAAACAAAUAAAUCAAAACUUUCAACAACGGAUCUCUUGGUUCUGGCAUCGAUGAAGAACGCAGCAAAAUGCGAUAAGUAAUGUGAAUUGCAGAAUUCAGUGAAUCAUCGAAUCUUUGAACGCACAUUGCGCCCGCCAGUAUUCUGGCGGGCAUGCCUGUUCGAGCGUCAUUUCAACCCUCAAGCCCAGCUUGGUGUUGGGAGCUGCAGUCCUGCUGCACUCCCCAAAUACAUUGGCGGUCACGUCGAGCUUCCAUAGCGUAGUAAUUUACACAUCGUUACUGGUAAUCGUCGCGGCCACGCCGUUAAACCCCAACUUCUGAAUGUUGACCUCGGAUCAGGUAGGAAUACCCGCUGAACUUAAGCAUAUCAUUAAAGCGGAGGAAAAGGUAGAGCUGCGGAGCAACUGAUCAAUCCGAGGGGGGCCCGCGCACACCCCUAAAAAGGAGGCCCAGACUAACCGUUUUUAUGAAUCGAGUAUAAAAAAAUAAUAAACUUACAGGACUUGGUUUGCCUCAGAAAACACAAGCAUAAUAUGUGGAGUG
Molecule: ribosomal RNA, 686 nt
Filed under: Fusarium culmorum
Lineage: Eukaryota; Fungi; Ascomycota; Sordariomycetes; Hypocreales; Nectriaceae
Description: eukaryotic LSU rRNA
Rfam family: 5.8S ribosomal RNA (bases 159-312)
Source: RNAcentral